ACUACACAUGCAGUCGAUCGGUAGCACAGAGAGCUUGCUCUCGGGUGACGAGUGGCGGACGGGUGAGUAAUGUCUGGGAAACUGCCUGAUGGAGGGGGAUAACUACUGGAAACGGUAGCUAAUACCGCAUAACGUCUUCGGACCAAAGUGGGGGACCUUCGGGCCUCACACCAUCGGAUGUGCCCAGAUGGGAUUAGCUAGUAGGUGGGGUAAUGGCUCACCUAGGCGACGAUCCCUAGCUGGUCUGAGAGGAUGACCAGCCACACUGGAACUGAGACACGGUCCAGACUCCUACGGGAGGCAGCAGUGGGGAAUAUUGCACAAUGGGCGCAAGCCUGAUGCAGCCAUGCCGCGUGUAUGAAGAAGGCCUUCGGGUUGUAAAGUACUUUCAGCGGGGAGGAAGGCGAUAAGGUUAAUAACCUUGUCGAUUGACGUUACCCGCAGAAGAAGCACCGGCUAACUCCGUGCCAGCAGCCGCGGUAAUACGGAGGGUGCAAGCGUUAAUCGGAAUUACUGGGCGUAAAGCGCACGCAGGCGGUCUGUCAAGUCAGAUGUGAAAUCCCCGGGCUUAACCUGGGAACUGCAUUUGAAACUGGCAGGCUAGAGUCUUGUAGAGGGGGGUAGAAUUCCAUGUGUAGCGAUGAACUGCGUAGAGAUCUGGAUGAGUACCGGUGGCGAGCGCAGUCCCGUGGACGAAGACUGACGCUCAGUGCGAAUGCGUGAGGAGCGAACAUGAUUAGAUACCCUGAUAGUCACGUCGUAAACGAUGUCGAC
RNAcentral lists this ribosomal RNA (774 nucleotides) under Erwinia sp. Its description in RNAcentral is "bacterial SSU rRNA". It matches the Rfam family "Bacterial small subunit ribosomal RNA", at positions 48 to 816 of the family's 1533-position model. The record is from RNAcentral. Lineage: Bacteria; Pseudomonadati; Pseudomonadota; Gammaproteobacteria; Enterobacterales; Erwiniaceae.